UACGGAGGAUGCGAGCGUUAUCCGGAUUUAUUGGGUUUAAAGGGUGCGUAGGCGGGAUGCCAAGUCAGCGGUAAAAAUGCGGUGCUCAACGCCGUCGAGCCGUUGAAACUGGCGUUCUUGAGUGGGCGAGAAGUAUGCGGAAUGCGUGGUGUAGCGGUGAAAUGCGUAGAUAUCACGCAGAACUCCGAUUGCGAAGGCAGCGUACCGGCGCCCAACUGACGCUGAAGCACGAAGGCGUGGGUAUCGAACAGG
RNAcentral lists this ribosomal RNA (252 nucleotides) under uncultured bacterium. Its description in RNAcentral is "partial 16S ribosomal RNA". It matches the Rfam family "Bacterial small subunit ribosomal RNA", at positions 524 to 776 of the family's 1533-position model. The record is from RNAcentral.